RNAcentral lists this long non-coding RNA (251 nucleotides) under Mytilus galloprovincialis (Mediterranean mussel). The record is from RNAcentral. Lineage: Eukaryota; Metazoa; Mollusca; Bivalvia; Mytilida; Mytilidae.
AGUACGUAUGAAACCAUCUAUAAUUUGGUCCUUGUUAAACAGGCUAGGAUAAAACAUAGUACGUAUAAAACCAUGUAAAAACCGGUCAUUGUUCCACAGUCUAGGAUAAAACACAAAAGGUACAGGUAUGACAAAAAAUAUGUCAACAUUUUAAUUUUAGACAGAAUGAUUGCUGGUGGACGUUUCGUCCCCGAGGGUAUCACCAGCCCAGUAGUCAAUAAUUCGGUGUUGAUAUGAAUAUCAAUAAUGUG